AGAGAGAGACAUGCGCGCAUAUCAAUAAGCGGAGGAAAAGAAACUAACAAGGAUUCCCCUUAGUAACGGCGAGUGAAGCGGGAAGAGCUCAAAUUUGAAAUCUUCAAGGUUCUACCUUGACGAAUUGUAGUUUAUAGAAGUGUUUUCUGUUAGUGGAGUGGCAAAAGUUCUUUGGAAUAGGACAUCAUUAGAGGGUGAGAAUCCCGUAUUUGGUCAUUCCUCCUAGCGUUGUGAUACACUUUCAACGAGUCGGAUUGUUUGGGAAUGCAGUCCAAAAUGGGUGGUAAAUUUCAUCUAAAGCUAAAUAUUGGCGAGAGACCGAUAGCGAACAAGUACCGUGAGGGAAAGAUGAAAAGAACUUUGAAAAGAGAGUUAAACAGUACGUGAAAUUGUCAAAAGGGAAGCGUUUGACACCAGUGUUGUUUUUCCGAAAAUCAAUUACGAAUGUUUUGUUUUUGAGGAGUUAUGACUUCAUCGGCUUGCUCCUUUCUUUACGAAACUUUCUUAAUGCACUUUUCGGUUAACAAGUCAACAUCAAUUUCUUUUGUUGUAAAAGGGUAUGAGGAAGGUGGCUUUCUUUUCGGAGAAAGUGUUUAUAGCCUUGUGCCUCUACAAUCGGAGAGAUUGAGGUCUGCAGCGUAGAUCCUUCGGGGUUAGAUACAUUUGUGCUAAGUUAUAGCUUUUCAUAGACAACUUGUUGACUAUGUUUAGUCUUGUAGCUUACUCGCUUACUGCUAUUUUACCUACGCUUAGGAUGUUGAUAGUCACAGCGUGUAC
This 777-nucleotide ribosomal RNA is filed under the name uncultured Neocallimastigales. RNAcentral's name for it is "partial large subunit ribosomal RNA". It matches the Rfam family "Eukaryotic large subunit ribosomal RNA", at positions 23 to 644 of the family's 3401-position model. The record is from RNAcentral. Lineage: Eukaryota; Fungi; Neocallimastigomycota; Neocallimastigomycetes; Neocallimastigales.